Molecule: long non-coding RNA, 812 nt
Organism: Schistocerca americana (American grasshopper)
Lineage: Eukaryota; Metazoa; Arthropoda; Insecta; Orthoptera; Acrididae
Exons: 2
Source: RefSeq, a predicted model, not a curated record
GUGUCCAUAUUCUUAUCCAACCAGUCUGAUGCAGGUUUUUCAGAGACUCCCUCACCCAACUCCAGGGGAAUGCUGGUGUGAUUCCUUAACCAUGAACAAUUCCUUCUUAUUCAUGUCUAAUUUGAGCUUCCACUAAGGCUCUAUUGACCUAGACAGCAAACUUAAAAACCUUGCAUUUAUUUUUACACUAUUUUCAUAGCGGAAUAUUGCUCAAUUCAGUUGCUUCUGACAGGUAUCAGUCGUGUAUUACUUUUAUUUUUGGUACUUCCUCAAUUUUUUUUAUUAAUUCUUAAACAUUCCUUCAGUUUCAAGGUGUUCUGGACUACAGUUGGUUUAUUAUUAGGGUGUGUGUGUGUGUGUGUGUGUGUGUGUGUGUGUGUGUGUGUGUGUGUGUGUGUGUGUGUGUGUGUGUGUGUGUGUGUGUGUGUGUGUGUGUGUGUGUGUGUGUUACAAUCAGUAAGAGUGUUUACCAGCUUUAUCUGUUUUGUGGAAAACACCAAUUCUUGGCCCAGUCGUGCCUUCCUGAAACUGUAGAAGGUGCUAUAACAUUUCAGAAUUUUUUAAUAGAUAUGUUUGAAACUUUUUGUGAUAUUUCUAUGUUUUCAUGAGUACACUGUCCUUUGUUGCAGUAUGCCAUUUUUGUGAGAGUAUGUCUGCAGUCUGCUUAAGGACAGUGUAAUCAGAUAUAUUCGUUUUAAGAUGCCUUGGAAUAUGUAGGCAAGUUGCCAUCUCUGCCUAAAUAUUGUGGUGACAAGUUUUUUAUGUUCAUUGUGUAUGUAAACUGAGAAGCAAAACAAGACAUUUUAAAGUGA